RNAcentral lists this ribosomal RNA (646 nucleotides) under Pseudobryopsis hainanensis. RNAcentral's name for it is "SSU rRNA". It matches the Rfam family "Eukaryotic small subunit ribosomal RNA", at positions 1153 to 1830 of the family's 1831-position model. Lineage: Eukaryota; Viridiplantae; Chlorophyta; Ulvophyceae; Bryopsidales; Pseudobryopsidaceae. The record is from RNAcentral.
UUGACGGAAGGGCACCACCAGGCGUGGAUGCUGCGGCUUAAUUUGACUCAACACGGGGAAACUUACGAGGUUUGGACACAAGUAGGAUGGACAGAUUGAGAGCUCUUUCUUGAUUCUGUGGGUGGUGGUGCAUGGCCGAUCUCAGCCCGUGGGUUGACCUGUCAGGUUUACUCCGGUAACGCGCGAGACCUCGACCUGCUAAAUAGGGACCGUCGCUCCUUGCGGCGGGCACCUUCUUAGAGGGACUGCCGAUGCGAAUCGGCUGAAGUGCGAGGCUAUAUCAGGUCUGUGAUGCCCUUAGUUAUCCUCGGUCGCACGCGUCAUACAAUGUGAUGCUCAGCGAGUUUUUCCUUCGCCGACAGGCGCGGGAAAUCUGCCAGUUCGUCACGUGACGGGGCUAGACUCUUGCAAUUCUUGGUCUUCAACGUGGAAUGCCUAGUAACCGUGGGUCAGAAUCCCACGGUGACUAUGUCCCUGCCCUUUGUACACACCGCCCGUCGCUCGUACUGAUGUUAUUUGAGACAAAAACAGGGGCUUGGGGGGCUGCCAGCAAUGGUGCUUCCCGAAAACCUUUUUGAGUCUUGUGUAAUAGAGGAACGAGAAGUCGUAACAAGGUCUCCGUUGGGGAACCAGCGGAGGGAUCAUU